This 405-nucleotide ribosomal RNA is filed under the name uncultured bacterium. RNAcentral describes it as "partial 16S ribosomal RNA". It matches the Rfam family "Bacterial small subunit ribosomal RNA", at positions 30 to 526 of the family's 1533-position model. The record is from RNAcentral.
AUUGAACGCUAGCGGGAUGCUUUACACAUGCAAGUCGAACGAGUGGCGGACGGGUGAGUAAUAUAUCGGAACGUGCCCAGUAGCGGGGGAUAACUACUGGAAAGCGUGGCUAAUACCGCAUACUAUUGGAGCGGCCCAUAUUGGAUUAGCUAGUUGGUGGGGUAAAGGCACACCAAGGCCACGAUCUGUAGCUGGUUUGAGAGGACGACCAGCCACACUGGGACUGAGAGACGGCCCAGACUCCUACGUGGGGCAGCAGUGGGGAAUAUUGCACAAUGGGCGCAAGCCUGAUGCAGCCCUGCAGCGUGUAUGAGAAGGCCUUCGGGUUGUAAAGCACUUUCAGUGGGGAGGCGUUACCAACAGAAGAAGCACCGGCUAAUUCCGUGCCAGCAGCCGCGGUAAUAC